AUAGGGACUAGCNUGAACGGCUAAAUGAGGAUUAAACUGUCUCUUGUAAUCAACCUAUGAAACUGAUCUUGUAGUUCAAAAGCUAUAAUACAAACACCAGACGAGAAGACCCUGUGGAGCUUUUAAACCAAAGCCAAAUUAAUGCCCCCUUGGUUUUUAGUUGGGGCAACUUCGGAGCACAAAAAAACCUCCGAAUAAACCACAAAUCGAGACAAACAAAUCAAAACUUAUACUUGACCCAAUAGUUUAACCUAAACUAUUUGACCAAUGAACCAAGUUACCCCAGGGAUAACAGCGCUAUCCUCUUUUAGAGUCCCUAUCGACAAGAGGGCUUACGACCUCGAUGUUGGAUCAGGACACCCCAAUAAUGCAGCCGUUAUUAAAGGUUCGUUUGUUCAACGAUUAAAGUCCUACGUGAU
RNAcentral lists this ribosomal RNA (419 nucleotides) under Mesalina sp. 2 PK-2014. RNAcentral's name for it is "partial 16S ribosomal RNA". It matches the Rfam family "Bacterial large subunit ribosomal RNA", at positions 1980 to 2604 of the family's 2925-position model. The record is from RNAcentral. Lineage: Eukaryota; Metazoa; Chordata; Lepidosauria; Squamata; Lacertidae.